This 856-nucleotide small RNA is filed under the name Pongo abelii (Sumatran orangutan). Its description in RNAcentral is "retained intron". The record is from RNAcentral. Lineage: Eukaryota; Metazoa; Chordata; Mammalia; Primates; Hominidae.
GCGGGCUCCGGCGGCAGCGACGCGAGCGCGGCGAUGGGGAGCGGCGGCGUGGUCCACUGUAGGUGUGCCAAGUGUUUCUGUUAUCCUACAAAGCGAAGAAUAAGGAGGAGGCCCCGAAACCUGACCAUCUUGAGUCUCCCCGAAGAUGUACUCUUUCACAUCCUGAAAUGGCUUUCUGUAGAGGACAUCCUGGCUGUCCGAGCUGUACACUCCCAGCUGAAGGACCUGGUGGACAACCACGCCACUGUGUGGGCAUGUGCCAGCUUCCAGGAGCUGUGGCCGUCUCCAGGAAACCUGAAGCUCUUUGAAAGGGCUGCCGAAAAGGGGAAUUUCGAAGCUGCUGUGAAGCUGGGCAUAGCCUACCUCUACAAUGAAGGCCGUAAGUCCUCACCCCACCUGCAUGUUGGCGCUUUAGAUAAGCGUGAGCCUUUGGCCCUAUGAAGAGGUGGUCCCCGUGUUAGCAGUUCAGUCGCUGUCCUUGCUCUAUCCGAUGGCGUGCCUCCCCAUUCCCUCUCAGGAGCUCGUGCCCAGAUGUACCCUGCUGAAGGACUUGCUAAUGAUACUCUGACUUUGUAGGUUAUGAGAGUCACCUCUUGUUUUAGCAAACCCUUUAAUUUCAGUUGGCAAAGAGUGACUGAGCCAGAGCCUCAGCAUGGGGGCUGUUCGGGCUCCCGCCCUCUGCACCGUGGGCACGCAGACCUGCCUGUGGAUGCUGGCCCUCUCCUCGGCCAUCCUCUUAGAACUCUUGAGACAGAGUUCAGCGUGCCCUGUAACACAGAGCCAAGCUUCUAAACGGGAAGCAGGUACAGGCAGGUUAGAGCUGGCCUGGUGCCUGCAUCCCUUCAUCCCCAGAGGC